Molecule: ribosomal RNA, 677 nt
Filed under: Cetraria ericetorum
Lineage: Eukaryota; Fungi; Ascomycota; Lecanoromycetes; Lecanorales; Parmeliaceae
Description: SSU rRNA
Rfam family: Bacterial small subunit ribosomal RNA
Source: RNAcentral
CAAUAGCUACUUGCAUCAUUGUAAAUAUGAUGCAAGAUCGACUAUGUCGAAUAAAAUUCUAGGUAGAAUUAUGAUAAUGACAUUGUCUGCCUAUGUGUCUUGACCAAAUUACGUGCCAGCAGUCGCGGUAAUACGUAGAAGACUAGUGUUAUUCAUGUUUAAUCGGUUUAAAGGGUACCUAGACGGUAAAUCAAGCCUAAAAGGAAAGAAAUGAAGGGACUAAUUUACUAGAGUUACUUAUGAGGGGGUAUUAAAGUACUGCUGGUGUAGAGAUGAAAUUCUGUCAUACCUCUUUUCAAUAGAAAAAUAAUGGCACAGGUAUAGGCGAAAGCAUCCCCUUAUGUGAUAACUGACGUUGAGGGACGAAGGCUUUGUGUAGCGAACAGGAUUAGAUACCCCAGUAGUCAAAGCAGAAAAUGAUGAAUGUCAUAGAUUAGAUAUAUAAGUUUAUUCUAUAAAUGAAAGUGUAAGCAUUCCACCUCAAGAGUAAUUUGGCAACAUUGGAACUGAAAUCAUUAGACCGUUUCUGAAACCAGUAGUGAAGUAUGUUGUUUAAUUUGAUGAUCCGCAAAAAACCUUACCACAAUUUGAAUAUUUAUAUCUUAUAUUGUUUUUUUUUAACUUUAUUCUAAUUUUCUACUUAAAAGAAAACAAUAACAAUAAAAAAGAGACAAUAA